GUGGGGAAUCUUCCACAAUGGACGAAAGUCUGAUGGAGCAACGCCGCGUGAGUGAAGAAGGGUUUCGGCUCGUAAAGCUCUGUUGUCGGGGACGAAUGUGCAGUAUUUGAAUAAAGUACUGCAAUGACGGUACCUGACGAGGAAGCCACGGCUAACUACGUGCCAGCAGCCGCGGUAAUACGUAGGUGGCAAGCGUUGUCCGGAAUUAUUGGGCGUAAAGGGAGCGCAGGCGGGAAGGUAAGUCGGUCUGACAAGUGCGGGGGUCAACCCCGUGAUGGGAUCGAAACUAUCUUUCUUGAGUGCAGGAGAGGAAAGUGGAAUUCCUAGUGUAGCGGUGAAAUGCGUAGAUAUUAGGAGGAACACCAGUGGCGAAGGCGACUUUCUGGACUGUAACUGACGCUGAGGCUCGAAAGCCAGGGGAGCGAACGGGAUUAGAAACCCGGGUAGUCC
This 450-nucleotide ribosomal RNA is filed under the name uncultured bacterium. RNAcentral describes it as "partial 16S ribosomal RNA". It matches the Rfam family "Bacterial small subunit ribosomal RNA", at positions 354 to 796 of the family's 1533-position model. The record is from RNAcentral.